UGGAAGUAGUCACGUAUGUUUGGCACUUUAUGACUUACAAAUGCUUUUCUAUAAAUGAUCUCAUAUGGGCCUCAAAACAACCCUGCGAGGCCGGUGUUACGGUCUCCUUUUCAUAGAGGAGGAAAUUAAAGCGCGGCGAGAUGAAGUGACUUGCCUGGGGUCGCAGGCCUGCGGCGGAACCCGGUUCGGACCGAUGCGGACCCAGGCCGGACUCCAUCGUCCUCCUUCUCAAAAGCCCAGGUUGUGUAUCUUAGUUGCACGUCCUUCUAGCUGUGAGAUGUGGGAUGUGGGACGCCGCCUCAACGUGGCCUGACGAGCAGUGCCAUGUCCGCGCCCAGGAUCCGAACCCUGGGCCACCACAGUGGAGCAUGCGAACUUAACCACUCAGCCACGGAGCCGGCCCCUACAUCUCAAUUUAAAAAAAGAGAUAACAAAAAGCCGCGGAAGCUGAAGCAAGGACGGCCCGGAACUGGAGGAGAAGAGCAGGUGGUGCCAAGGAGAAGAGGAAAAGGAACGAAAGCAAUACUGUCUUCUCGCCCGCUGCCUCCCACAGCCUGAGGCUGCCCCACUCGGAGUUCAAGUCUGACAGUCCAAUCACAUACGAGGAGUUCCUAAAGAGGACAACAUGAGUGGAAAUCCCAGUGCCAAGCCAGGGGCCCUGGUCACCUG
Molecule: long non-coding RNA, 669 nt
Filed under: Equus caballus (horse)
Lineage: Eukaryota; Metazoa; Chordata; Mammalia; Perissodactyla; Equidae
Description: lncRNA (ENSECAG00000052776.1)
Source: RNAcentral